CCCUUAGAUGUUCUGGGCUGCACGCGCGCUACACUGACACGUUCAACGAGUUGUUGCCUGGGCCGAGAGGUCUGGGAAAUCUUUUGAAAUCGUGUCGUGAUAGGGAUAGAUUAUUGCAAUUAUUAAUCUUCAACGAGGAAUUCCUAGUAAACGCAAGUCAUCAGCUUGCAUUGAUUACGUCCCUGCCCUUUGUACACACCGCCCGUCGCUCCUACCGAUUGAAUGGUCCGGUGAAGCGUUCGGACCGUGGCCUUUGGACGGUUCGCCGUCUGUUGGCUGCGGGAAGUUCGUUAAACCUUAUCAUUUAGAGGAAGGAGAAGUCGUAACA
This 328-nucleotide ribosomal RNA is filed under the name uncultured eukaryote. RNAcentral describes it as "partial 18S ribosomal RNA". It matches the Rfam family "Eukaryotic small subunit ribosomal RNA", at positions 1470 to 1796 of the family's 1831-position model. The record is from RNAcentral.